Molecule: non-coding RNA, 100 nt
Filed under: Otolemur garnettii (small-eared galago)
Lineage: Eukaryota; Metazoa; Chordata; Mammalia; Primates; Galagidae
Description: Eukaryotic large subunit ribosomal RNA
Rfam family: Eukaryotic large subunit ribosomal RNA
Source: Rfam by way of RNAcentral
CUAAGGUGAGCUCAGGGAUCAUAGAAACAUCCCACAGAACAGAAGAGCAAAAGCUCAUUUGAUUUUGAUUUUCAGUGUGAAUGUGGACUGUGAAAGUAGG